RNAcentral lists this ribosomal RNA (579 nucleotides) under uncultured bacterium. RNAcentral describes it as "bacterial SSU rRNA". It matches the Rfam family "Bacterial small subunit ribosomal RNA", at positions 102 to 668 of the family's 1533-position model. The record is from RNAcentral.
ACGGGUGAGUAACACGUAGGCAACCUGCCCUCAAGCUUGGGACAACUACCGGAAACGGUAGCUAAUACCGAAUACUUGUUUUCUUCGCCUGAAGGGAACUGGAAAGACGGAGUAAUCUGUCACUUGAGGAUGGGCCUGCGGCGCAUUAGCUAGUUGGUGAGGUAACGGCUCACCAAGGCGACGAUGCGUAGCCGACCUGAGAGGGUGAUCGGCCACACUGGGACUGAGACACGGCCCAGACUCCUACGGGAGGCAGCAGUAGGGAAUCUUCCGCAAUGGGCGAAAGCCUGACGGAGCAAUGCCGCGUGAGUGAUGAAGGUUUUCGGAUCGUAAAGCUCUGUUGCCAGGGAAGAACGCUUAGGAGAGUAACUGCUCCUGAGGUGACGGUACCUGAGAAGAAAGCCCCGGCUAACUACGUGCCAGCAGCCGCGGUAAUACGUAGGGGGCAAGCGUUGUCCGGAAUUAUUGGGCGUAAAGCGCGCGCAGGCGGUCAUUUAAGUCUGGUGUUUAAUCCCGGGGCUCAACCCCGGAUCGCACUGGAAACUGGGUGACUUGAGUGCAGAAGAGGAGAGUGGAAUU